UUCCUCCCUGCAGUAUUUUCUGUGACCAACAUGAGGUUCAUCCUCCUGCCAUGUCUUUGGGGUUUCCAUCUGGAAGACACUUCUUUGCACAACUCCAUGAUCAAGGUCCAUAGCUGUUCAUGUUGCAAUUCACCAACUUUUGGAUGGGAGAAGUAUGCAUCGUUCCACUGAUUAUUGCUGAAGCCUAGCUUCCCUUGCAGGAGUCCUGCUGGCAGUACUCCUGGUGGACACAUUUAUUCUCCAUAAUGAUGCUGAGAUGAGUUCUGAUUCAGUUCUGGGUCAUUGUCCCUGAGCCGGUUCUGACCUGGAUGUGACAGCAUGGUCUUGAUGAAUGAUGAGCAACAGAAACUGGAUGGGGAAGGCUUGAUGGCUUUCAUCAUGAUUAAUGGGGAAAUAAAACAUAGUCAAG
This 409-nucleotide long non-coding RNA is filed under the name Gallus gallus (chicken). RNAcentral describes it as "long non-coding RNA NONGGAT009493". Lineage: Eukaryota; Metazoa; Chordata; Aves; Galliformes; Phasianidae. The record is from RNAcentral.